GUUUGGACUGACGGUGGUUGAAGCUAUGACUUGUGGUCUUCCAACAUUUGCAACUUGUCAUGGUGGACCUAUGGAGAUCAUUCAGGACGGUGUAUCCGGGUACCAUAUAGAUCCUUAUCAUCCCAAUAAAGCUGCUGAGCUCAUGGUAGAAUUCUUCCAACGAUGCGAACAAAAUCCUACUCACUGGGAAAAUAUAUCUGCAUCUGGCCUACAAAGGAUUCUCGACAGGUAUACAUGGAAAAUUUACUCGGAGAGGCUGAUGACUUUGGCUGGUGUAUAUGGUUUCUGGAAGCUUGUUUCAAAACUCGAGAGGCGUGAAACUAGACGAUACCUCGAGAUGUUCUACAUUCUCAAGUUCCGUGAGUUGGUAAAAUCUGUUCCUCUAGCAGUUGAUGAGAAGCAGUGAGGAUUUUGCAAAGGAAUAAAUAACGUGGAGCAUACCACUCUAU
Molecule: unclassified non-coding RNA, 449 nt
Filed under: Hevea brasiliensis (rubber tree)
Lineage: Eukaryota; Viridiplantae; Streptophyta; Magnoliopsida; Malpighiales; Euphorbiaceae
Source: RNAcentral